Molecule: transfer RNA, 71 nt
Filed under: Marmota monax (woodchuck)
Lineage: Eukaryota; Metazoa; Chordata; Mammalia; Rodentia; Sciuridae
Description: tRNA.Ala
Source: RNAcentral
GGGGUUGUGGCUCAGCGGUAGAGUGUUCCCUUAGCAUGUGCAAGGCCCUGGGUUUAAUCCUCAGCACCACA